Molecule: RNA transcript, 2370 nt
Organism: Mustela erminea (ermine)
Lineage: Eukaryota; Metazoa; Chordata; Mammalia; Carnivora; Mustelidae
Gene: SLC7A5
Gene name: solute carrier family 7 member 5
Exons: 12
Source: RefSeq, a predicted model, not a curated record
AUGGCAGGCGCCGGCCCGAAGCGGCGCGCGUCCGCGGCGGCCGCGGCGGCCGAGGAGGAGGAGCGGCAGGCGCGGGAGCGGAUGCUGGCGACGCGGCGCGCGGAGGGCGCGGAGGGCGCGGAGGGCGCGGAGGGCGUGACCCUGCAGCGGAGCAUCACGCUCUUCAACGGCGUGGCCAUCAUCGUGGGCACCAUCAUCGGCUCGGGCAUCUUCGUGACGCCCACCGGCGUGCUCAAGGAGGCGGGCUCGCCGGGGCUGGCGCUGGUGGUGUGGGCCGUGUGCGGGGUCUUCUCCAUCGUGGGCGCGCUGUGCUACGCCGAGCUGGGCACCACCAUCACCAAGUCGGGCGGCGACUACGCCUACAUGCUCGAGGUGUACGGCUCGCUGCCCGCCUUCCUCAAGCUCUGGAUCGAGCUGCUCAUCAUCCGGCCGUCCUCGCAGUACAUCGUGGCGCUCGUCUUCGCCACCUACCUGCUCAAGCCGCUCUUCCCCACCUGCCCGGUGCCCGAGGAGGCCGCCAAGCUCGUGGCCUGCCUCUGCGUGCUGCUGCUCACGGCCGUGAACUGCUACAGCGUGAAGGCCGCCACCCGGGUCCAGGACGCCUUCGCCGCGGCCAAGCUCCUGGCGCUGGCCUUGAUCAUUCUGCUCGGCUUCAUCCAGAUCGGGAAGGGUGACGUGUCCAAUCUGGAUCCCAAGUUCUCGUUUGAGGGCACCAAGCUGGACGUGGGGAACAUCGUGCUGGCGUUGUACAGCGGCCUCUUUGCCUACGGGGGAUGGAAUUACUUGAAUUUUGUCACGGAGGAGAUGAUCAAUCCCUACAGGAACCUGCCCUUGGCCAUCAUCAUCUCCCUCCCCAUUGUCACCCUGGUGUACGUGCUGACGAACCUGGCCUACUUCACCACGCUGUCCACAGAGCAGAUGCUGACGUCGGAGGCCGUGGCCGUGGACUUCGGGACCUACCACCUGGGCGUCAUGUCCUGGAUCAUCCCGGUCUUCGUGGGCCUGUCCUGCUUCGGCUCCGUCAACGGGUCCCUCUUCACGUCCUCUCGGCUGUUCUUCGUGGGGGCCAGGGAGGGCCACCUGCCCUCCGUCCUUUCCAUGAUCCACCCCCAGCUCCUGACGCCCAUGCCGUCCCUCGUCUUCACGUGCGUCAUGACGCUGCUGUACGCCUUCUCCAGAGACAUUUUCUCCGUCAUCAACUUCUUCAGCUUCUUCAACUGGCUCUGCGUGGCCCUGGCCAUCGCCGGGAUGCUGUGGCUCCGCUACCGGAAGCCUGAGCUGGAGCGGCCCAUCAAGGUGAACCUGGCCCUCCCAGUGUUCUUCAUCCUGGCCUGCCUCUUCUUGAUCGCGGUCUCCUUCUGGAAGACCCCCGUGGAGUGUGGCAUCGGCUUCACCAUAAUCCUCAGCGGCCUGCCCGUCUACUUCUUUGGGGUCUGGUGGAAAAACAAGCCCAAGUGGCUUCUCCAUGGCAUCUUUUCCACGACAGUCCUCUGCCAGAAGCUCAUGCAGGUGGUGCCCCAGGAGACGUAAGCCAGAAGGACCAAGAAGCUGCCGGAAAGAAAACACUCGAAGAUGGUGUUGGAACAUCCCACCCCCUUGACAAGCGACUCCGGUCCCGUCAUCCAGGCAGCUCAGCGGAGCGCCCCGCGCCCGCCCCCCCCGGGUCGGGGGCCGGGGCCCCAGUGCAGACUGGUGCGACUUUAGUCCCAGAGAGCGGACUUCUGUCUUCACCUCCACGAGUGUAGCGCCGAGAGGAGGCCGGGCCCCGAGCUACCGCAGGCUGUUCGUCCGCUGGGGCUCCUCCUUCAGCCUUUGUUUAUCUGUGUUAUUUUUUUAACUUAAAUUUGGGGUCAGGUUGACACCACUAAGAUGAUUAUUUUCUAAAGAAAUGGGGAAUCGUGAGAGUUUUGCCCUCUGCCCCCUGCAGCUUGACUUGCCUGCGGGGGCCCCGGGCGUGUGGUGGGGCGCGGUGCCCGGCCCAGCACAGGCUUCCAGGAAGGGGGGAUCCUGAGUCCCCAGCACUCCAGGCCCAGGAGCAGAGCCACCGAGACUCCGGCCUCACUGUGCGGACCUCCCGAGUUGCACUGGCAGACAGAUGGCAGCCCAGACCGACCGCACACUUGGCUUUCUUUUGUUGUUCUUGUAGAUGUAGUGACUUUAGCAAAAACUAAUCUUGGGACUUAGUCUCUUUGCCUUAAAGAUCCAAGGGUGGAUCCCUCCCCAACCCCCGGAAGAGAAGAGAGAAGGUCACUAGAACAGCUGCCUUCCGAGAGUAACCCCAGCCCCGGCUCAGCGGACGGCAGGUUCCUGCACCUGGUGUCUGCUGCUGGUCGGGGGGCCCCCGGGCAGAGGUGCCGCCCCCCGAGACGG